GACGAACGCUGGCGGCGUGCCUAAUACAUGCAAGUAGAACGCUGAAGACUUUAGCUUGCUAAAGUUGGAAGAGUUGCGAACGGGUGAGUAACGCGUAGGUAACCUGCCUACUAGCGGGGGAUAACUAUUGGAAACGAUAGCUAAUACCGCAUAACAGCAUUUAACCCAUGUUAGAUGCUUGAAAGGAGCAAUUGCUUCACUAGUAGAUGGACCUGCGUUGUAUUAGCUAGUUGGUGAGGUAACGGCUCGCCAAGGCGACGAUACAUAGCCGACCUGAGAGGGUGAUCGGCCACACUGGGACUGAGACACGGCCCAGACUCCUACGGGAGGCAGCAGUAGGGAAUCUUCGGCAAUGGGGGCAACCCUGACCGAGCAACGCCGCGUGAGUGAAGAAGGUUUUCGGAUCGUAAAGCUCUGUUGUAAGAGAAGAACGUGUGUGAGAGUGGAAAGUUCACACAGUGACGGU
RNAcentral lists this ribosomal RNA (466 nucleotides) under uncultured bacterium. Its description in RNAcentral is "bacterial SSU rRNA". It matches the Rfam family "Bacterial small subunit ribosomal RNA", at positions 28 to 476 of the family's 1533-position model. The record is from RNAcentral.